GUCCACGCUGUAAACGAUGGGCACUAGGUGUCCGAGGUAUUGACCCCUUGGGUGCCGCAGCUAACGCAUUAAGUGCCCCGCCUGGGGAGUACGGUCGCAAGAUUAAAACUCAAAGGAAUUGACGGGGGCCCCGCACAAGCGGUGGAGCAUGUGGUUCAAUUCGACGCAACGCGAAGAACCUUACCUGGGCUAGACAACGGUGGACCGUCCUAGAAAUAGGACUUUCCCUUCGGGGACUGCCGGUUCAGGUGCUGCAUGGCUGUCGU
RNAcentral lists this ribosomal RNA (266 nucleotides) under uncultured bacterium. Its description in RNAcentral is "partial 16S ribosomal RNA". It matches the Rfam family "Bacterial small subunit ribosomal RNA", at positions 793 to 1055 of the family's 1533-position model. The record is from RNAcentral.